AAGCCAGCACCAGUAAGGCCGACUUCUAAUCGGACUUAGGUUGUUAAGUCUACCCUGGUUUU
Molecule: transfer RNA, 62 nt
Filed under: Cirriformia cf. tentaculata HK-2018
Lineage: Eukaryota; Metazoa; Annelida; Polychaeta; Terebellida; Cirratulidae
Description: tRNA-Ser
Source: RNAcentral